GCGUCUGUGUUUCACAGGACUCACCAUGACAGUCAGCGCUCCCUCACGGCCUUUGUGCUUUAUAAAGCAGGCAGUGACAUGUGCGCCAUGUCCAGCCAUGAGAUCAGACAGCUCGGGAACAGCAAGUGAAGGAGAGGAAGAUUGCAGCGAAGAAUGAUGCAGUUGCGAGUCUUUCCUGCUCACCACAAGAUGUCUCCUCUGCACGCAGGAAAGCCCCCAGUGGCUCACCCCAUGAGAGAAUAUAUGCAGCAUAUUCUGGAAGGGAUGGUGCUUGAAAACGCAUACAAACAGGCCUGCAGGACUCUCAAAGGACCCCUGUGGAGCUCCUCAACCUGUUUACAUAUCAAAAAGGUGGGAAAAUCUGCAGCCUGCCGGCCCUGCAGGAUUGUAGGUUUCUGAAGUUUGAUGAACUACAGCAUAUGAAGAAAAAUAUGAAGAAAGAUCACACAAUUGUGUGUCAUUCUUACUUGCGACAGGACCGUUUGUAAGUCACCCAAAGAGUUUGUUGGGUUCUGAGGGGUGUUCUGCCCUACCUUUGCAGGUACAGUCACAGUUUACCAUGUUAUUAUAAUGUAUGAUGUACUGAUGUUACCAUAUCAAUUGACCCCUCAGCUCCGUCUAACAACGAUGCUGCUGUUAUGACGACUGAGAAAUGUGCCUAUCAAGGAGCAGUUGUCCCCAAUGUUUUACAAACGUUAGCAUAAUAAUUGUUGAUGAAAAAGACAGAGAACAAUGCACCAUAUGAUGCAAACCAUGCCCAGAAUUUGAUUAAACCAGCUCCACAACCAAAGACUGAAGUGUUAACAAAAUGUCUGCAGCUAGCCAAAAAGCUUAGCUUCUGCCUCUGAAGUCUAACAGCAUCCAUAUUGUUCCAGCUGUAUCUGCUUACGAUUAAAGCUUUACUGCCUGUGUCUUCUUUAGUCUUUUAUCUUAGGCUCAUAAAAACAUGUAGUUCCUAAUUCUAGACCCUGUUGGAAGUUCCUUUAACUCUGACUCAGUAAUUCAUCAAUGGUUAUUCUUUUAAGCCCCCUCUUGAAGUACUUAAUGUUCCCAUCUUUGCAUCUAUUGCUUCAUUUGUACACAAGUGUUUUUGUUCAUAAUGUAUGUGUAGAAAUGGACAUAUUUAUGUGCAAUAACUGUAUCAGAUAAUUUAAGAAAAACCAUGAGUGCAGCAGGGAGAUUUUAUUUCUAAGAUCCUAUGAACUGCCAGCUGAAAAAAAUCUCCCCAAAAUUAAACAUGUCUACAAUAGUGUAUAACUGUGGCUACCAAUUUGAAGUUGUGAAUGUUAUGAUUGCCUCAGUGUUAAAUGCAGACAUCCCAGGGGGGUGAUAUUAUACACAUUUUUAUAAUAAUACAUGUCUUAAGUCGAAAGGCUGGCUAUCUGCCUUCUGUAACUUAAACAACCCUAGCAACAUGUAAAAGUAAGUAAGUGAUUUGAUAUUAAUAAUGUCUCUGGUGGUACUAUUAACAUGUCUGACUGUGCAACCUCUACAUAUUGAGAUUCUCACUCACUGAGAUUAUGCAAAGACUCCUAAUUGUAUCUAAUGUAUACAUAUACCGAUCAUGUGUUUUUGUAAUCCCAGGCAUAAGUGGAUGAAUCAGAUAAUAGAUGAAGGAGAGUAAAAAAAAAGAGACUUGAGCAGUUACAUGAUUCCCAGAUCUUAAAUACAUCCUAACAAGAACAUUAUUGUCUGCACCAGUAACCCAUCCAAUAGUUCUUUCAGACAUUAAUCUAAAAACCACAGAUGUUAUUGCUUUUAAAAAAUCAUUGCCGAGGCUCUGCUUGUCAACAGACAAGGCAGGCAACUGCUCGGGGUCCCAGACCAGUAGGGCCCCCCUAAGGGCUAACAGACUUAAACCAAAGCAGUGGACCAAAAUGUGCAAAUUUUGCAAUGACAGUCGGAAACCUCCCUGUGGGGGCACCCACUCUGGUUGGAGGGCCCCACAAUUCAUUUUUGCCUAGGGCCCCCACAGACCCUAGAAUCAACACUGUCUCAUUGUAAUCCUUAUUGCCCAAAUGAUUUGAAUGGCACAUACGAGGUCAUUAUGUAUCAGCAUUCUAAGUUCUUAUUCGUUUCUGAAUUUCUUUGGCUUUCAAAAAUUAAAUUGUAUUUGCAUGUGUUAUAAAUUCUUUGUUUUAAAGGUUUUACUUGUCCUCUUUUUCUAUCCUAAAUCUUGCAGGGUACCAGCUUUAUUUGUAUUUUCUGUUUACAAUCUUUUCAUUUGCUUAUGUCUGUAAGCACUUUCGUUAGCUCCCAUUGUUUGAAAAUAGUUACAGAUAAGUUUGACUGGACUUAACUUUACUCGACUUAAAUUUGGCCUUCAGGGAAAUAAAAUGUUUUGUUCAUGAAGUGAAUCAACCCUGAGCGUCAGCACACACUGUAUUUUAACAGUCUGUAGUUUUGGUAGAAAGGUGGUGUUUCCAGUCUGAGUACAUCCAGCCCUCUCACUUCCCUCUCCAGAUGUUUCCAGGUCACAGACAACAUGUUCAGAGACAGACUAAAACAUCACUCGGGGUAAAGAAGUCACAGGAGGGCAGGGCAGCAGGGAAAGUGCUUCCUCAGUCCUCACUUCAAGGCCACUUGUCAUGGAAAACAAAAGUGACAGACCUGCUAUCAAACUUUUAGGUCAUUUUUGGGAGAAAAUUACACUUUUUUUUUUUUUUUAGCUUGAAUGGACUUGGUAGUAAUUUGAUGGAACAAAAUUAACAUUAUUGCAAUAAACUUGUAAUAAAAUAAUAAAUGAAGACACAGGAGCAUAAGGGACAUCUUUAACAGUUCAUACAGAUAUCAUAGACCAACACUUAGUUACUUAUCUCAAUCCCUCGUUUUAUUGAAUUGUUGUGUGGAGUUUAAUAACACAACUGAACUCUGACUGGCCUGAGUCACACAACAACGAUCUGUCCGCACAACAAUGACUCCGACAGCGACACACAGCCUCGAUACAAGCACAUCUGUCACACAGAGAUCAAUAAAAACUGGGGUUAGAUCUGAGGAAACAGAUUAAGGUUCAGUAUCUGGAAGAGGGCGGAUUAUUGAUUUUAGACAAAUUACCCCCAGAGACAUCCUGCCCUUUCAGAAGAGAGUCAAACCACCUUUAUACCAAAUGGAAAGUAGAAAUUCAAUAAGUCUUACUGGAAGACAUUAACUAAUCAUGUUGUUGUACUGCUUAUUUACAAAAAGCCUCCAAAAUAGGCUUGUAUGUACCCAUUGAAGAUUUUAAAAAAAAACAUACUAAAGGUUAA
Molecule: non-coding RNA, 3245 nt
Organism: Labrus bergylta (ballan wrasse)
Lineage: Eukaryota; Metazoa; Chordata; Actinopteri; Labriformes; Labridae
Source: RefSeq, a predicted model, not a curated record